GUAGGGUGGCUUGUCGCUCGUCACCUGGCAACGGGUAUCGAGAGGAAAGUCCGGGCAACACAGAGCAUCACAUUUCUUAACGGGAAACUGUGGGUGACUGCAGAGUUCAAGGUGACAGAAAACAACCGCCGCGCGCUCCCGUGUGGGGCAGUGCGGUAAGGGUGAAAAGGCGGGGUAAGAGCCCACCGGGCGCGGUGGUGACACCGUGUGCCGCACCACUUGUGAGUUGCAAGGUCAAGUAUACCGGCAUCUAAGGGCUGCUCGUCCAUUGCCGGGGGGUAGACUGCUAUACCGGCGCAGCAAUGCGUCGGACAGAUAAAUGACAGGCGGCCACCUUGUGUGGCUACAUAACCCGGCUUAUAGCCCUACUGC
RNAcentral lists this RNase P RNA (372 nucleotides) under bovine gut metagenome. RNAcentral's name for it is "Bacterial RNase P class A". It matches the Rfam family "Bacterial RNase P class A". From Rfam's summary of the family: Ribonuclease P (RNase P) is a ubiquitous endoribonuclease, found in archaea, bacteria and eukarya as well as chloroplasts and mitochondria. Its best characterised activity is the generation of mature 5'-ends of tRNAs by cleaving the 5'-leader elements of precursor-tRNAs. Cellular RNase Ps are ribonucleoproteins. The record is from RNAcentral.